Molecule: long non-coding RNA, 2045 nt
Filed under: Homo sapiens (human)
Lineage: Eukaryota; Metazoa; Chordata; Mammalia; Primates; Hominidae
Description: HSALNT0264957
Source: RNAcentral
CUGCAUUUUAAUAAAACAACAAAAUCCCAUUUUAAGUGUAUAAGAAUUUGUCUAGGUUUGUGUGGGUGUGGAGAAGGUGUGGAAGGAAUUCGUCUAGGUUUGUGUGGGUGUGAAGGUGUGGAAGGAAUUCUCUAGGUUCGUGUGGGUGUUAGGAAGGUGUGGAAGGAAUUCGUCUAGGUCUGUGUGGGUGUGGGGAAGGUGUGCAAGGAAUUCGUCUAGGUCUGUGUGGGUGUGGGGAAGGUGUGGAAGGAAUCGUCUAGGUUCGUGUGGGUGUGGAGAAGGUGUGGAAGGAAUUCGUCUAGGUUCGUGUGGGUGUGGAGAAGGUGUGGAAGGAAUUCGUCUAGGUUCGUGUGGGUGUGCACAAGGUGUGGAAGGAAUUCGUCUAGGUUCGUGUGGGUGUGGAGGUGUGGAAGGAAUCGUCUAGGUCUGUGUGGGUGUGGAGAAGGUCUGGAAGGAAUUCGUCUAGGUUCGUGUGGGUGUGGAGAAGGUGUGGAAGGAAUCGUCUAGGUUUGUGUGGGUGUGGGGAAGGUGUGGAAGGAAUUCAUCUAGGUUCGUGUGGGUGUGGAGGUGUGGAAGGAAUCGUCUAGGUUCGUGUGGGUGUGGAGAAUGGGUGUGGGGAAGGUGUGGAAGGAAUCGUCUAGGUUCGUGUGGGUGUGGAGAAGGUGUGGAAGGAAUUCAUCUAGGUUCGUGUGGGUGUGGGGAAGGUGUGGAAGGAAUCGUCUAGGUUCGUGUAGGUGUGGAGAAGCUACGGAAGGAUACAUGCCUGGGGGACUGGAAUAGGGGGAGAUGAUUAGCUUUUCCUUUCUGCUUAUUUUUUAUUUGGAAAUAACUGUAAACACAGAAAAGUUGCAAAAAUAAAAACAGUACAAAGAAUACCUAUAUACCCUUUACUCAGAUUGACGUGCAUUCCUUCCUUACCUACUCCUCUCCUCCUUCCCCCAUUCCUUCCUCCAUCCCUGUCUCUUUCACUCAUAAUUUCUGCCCUGUAUGUGUGCAUACACACACACGAACACACACACGCGCGUGUGGGACAAUGUCCCAGUUCCUGACCAAGGCCUUGUGUUUUUCCACUGUCUUGUGCCUCUACUAUUGCUGUGGGAAAGCAUUCUUCUGGUGCCUGUUGUAGUGCUGCCAUGAGACCAGAAGGAACAUGUGUGAGGCAAACCUGAGCCCAUCAGCACAAGAGCUAAACCCAGCAGCACACAGAUUGUGAGUCUUUUUUUUUUUUUCUGUUUUCUUUUUUUAAGACAGGUUCUCUCUCUGCCACUCAGGCUGGAGUGCAGUGGCAUAAUCAUGGCUCACUGCAGCCUUGACCUCCUGGGCUCAUGUGAUCCUCCCACCUUAGCCUCUGAAGUAGCUGGGACUACAGGCACACAUCACCAUGCCAGGCUUUUUUUUUUUUUUUUUUUUUGUAGAGAUGGGGUUUCACCAUGUUACCCAGGCUGGUCUCGAACUCCUGGGCUCAAUCAAUCCACCCACCUCAGCCUCCCCAAAUGCUGGGAUUACAGGCAUAGGCCACCAUGCCCAGCCACACACAGAUUGAAUUAGAGUGGCCCAACCAAAUCCUGCCAACCUGUAGACACAUGAGAAGGAAAUACCAAUUGUUGUAGACUGAGAUGUUUGCAUUUGUUUGUUAUGGAGCAAUGACUGACCAAUACAGUUGCUAACACUUAUAAAGCACUUACUUUAUGCUAUAGAGUGCUGUAAGAAUUUUGCUUAUAUUAUCUAAUUUGAUAUGCAACAAUCCUUCUCACAGAUGAGGAAAUUGAGACUAAGUCAGUUGCACAAGGCCACACAGCUAAUAAGCUAACAAGCUAUGUGACUAUGGGACACACUGCCUCUGGACAUAUGCUAGGUGAGACAAUAAUUGAUGGUGGGUUAAACCAGUUUGAGUUGGCAUUUCUAUUACUUGCAGCCUAAAGCAUCCUACCUAAUUCAGCUGUACAGCCUUCUUCCUACCUCACCCCUCCCUUCCUUAUCUCUAGCCCUGGGGAUUUUGAUUACCCUGGGGAGAAGCCUUGCUUUGCCCAAACAUUAAUUUACAC